GACCGCCGCUCUAUGAGCGCCCAAGGCCACACGGACAGCCGGGUCGAAUGCCGA
Molecule: small RNA, 54 nt
Filed under: bovine gut metagenome
Description: Streptococcus sRNA SpF59 (ldcC RNA)
Rfam family: Streptococcus sRNA SpF59 (ldcC RNA)
Source: RNAcentral